CAGUCCAGCAGACAUAAGGUAUAAUUUCUAUACAACACCAUCCAUAUUUCAGCAUUCCAAGAAAGGCAGCAGGUGCCAAUUAUGCACCCGUCUUCAUGCCUCUGUUUUGUUGUUGUUUGGUUUUUUUUUUUCUUUUAAGUUUUAUCUAUUCAAGGUGGUGAGGUAUUGUAUGCACCGACAUUCACCCCCCCUUGCUUCCCCCUCCCAUGUAAUGAAGAGCUGAUUCAGCGAAUAGAAUGAGAGAGCACUCAGGAUGAGAUGGCUGCUGCUGAUGUGUCUCUAGGUCAUUACCUCUCUUCCAACUGCAAAUGCUGCAUGAUACUAAGCUUACAGGACACUAGAAGCAAACUGUACACCAGCAUGGAAAUCUGCUAGAAGACCUGUGAGGAAGCUCAAGUUUUCACAGUGGAAUACAACUAUGAAUCCCAAGAAAACAUGUUCAGAGCUACCAGCAAUUCAACUCUCCACUCAGACUUGAUCACUCAGAAUGAACAGCAAGAGGCUGCAAAAAUCUGGAAAAGCACUUCUCAUGUCCAUGCCAUCCCUGAACAAUGAACUAAAACCGGCUUUAAGCCACUGUGCAGGUAAAUUGCAUUGUAAAGUUCAGUCAGAAUACUAAGUUUAUUUUCUAACAAAAGUUAGUCAUAAUAUUGUUCUACCAAAGAAUUGCCAGGCUGGGUUUUACCUAACAACAGCCAACAGGAAGCAGCAAAAUACUUCUCAGGUUCAUCUGACAGGUAGUUGAGCAACUCUGUGUGUGCCUGCUCAGAGUACAUACUUCUUUAUGUACCCAUAUGAACAUACAAUGCUAUGGAAUGUAAAGAAGUAUGUAUUUUUGGCAGGCACGGAACGACCAGUAAGAGGAAACUAAACAGCUGUUGGAAGAAACAGGUUUCCCUCUUGUUUAAAUGACAUUCAUGUGACAAAUUAGCUUGCUAAGGGUCAGGUGGUAUUGCCAAAAUAACUCAUACUUGUUAGUAACAAAUCACAAAACAUCAAAUUAAGUGACUACAAAAGUGGGUAGGAAGAAUUGUUAACAGCUGAUAAGCAGACCAUUAGCUGUAAAUAAAGAAUUCAAAA
Molecule: long non-coding RNA, 1080 nt
Organism: Neopsephotus bourkii (Bourke's parrot)
Lineage: Eukaryota; Metazoa; Chordata; Aves; Psittaciformes; Psittacidae
Exons: 2
Source: RefSeq, a predicted model, not a curated record